UACGUAGGGGGGCAAGCGUUGUCCGGAAUCAUUGGGCGUAAAGCGCGCGUAGGCGGCCCUGUAAGUCCGUUGUGAAAGUCGAAGGCUCAACCUUCGAAAGCCGAUGGAUACUGCAGGGCUAGAGUCCGGAAGAGGCGAGUGGAAUUCCUGGUGUAGCGGUGGAAUGCGCAGAUAUCAGGAGGAACACCAGGUAGGCGAAGGCGGUCUCUGGGCCGUUACCUGACGC
Molecule: ribosomal RNA, 226 nt
Filed under: uncultured bacterium
Lineage: Bacteria
Description: partial 16S ribosomal RNA
Rfam family: Bacterial small subunit ribosomal RNA
Source: RNAcentral